UCCUCAGUGCCUGCCCUGGUAGGUGCAGCCCAGUGCUCCCAUAAGUUAUCCCUCCCCUGUGCCACUGCGGGCAUUAGUGGUGGUCUCACCCACCACAUCACAAGAGGAAUCUUAAAUCAUCCCACCAGAAGAAGUUGCAGAUGAGAUCCCAGCAGCUGACAGUGGCAGCAGAAGAAAAUGAAGCAAAAACCUUUUCCAGGACACGAGACAGGUGAGGCAGCCAGGCUGUGAAACUGCCCCGGAAGCUCCACAGCAGGACCCUCAGCCCACUCCUGGAGCACCAUAAACCUUACAUGAAAGGAACAGCCUUACAGCAUUGCCACAUCCUGGAGGGAUGUCACUGUUAGCACUCACUGCAUAUGGAUCACCAAAGUUACUGUCUGUGUGUACAACAAAAAGGAGGCUGGCAGGGAGGACACUGAAGUGCAAGGCACAAGAAAGAGAAGGUCCCCAAUGGACGGAGGAAGCCACAGUGCCCACAAAGAGCCAUUCUGGAGCUCAGACAAUGCCCACAUCCUCAUAGCCCAAAGUCUUUUUAACUCUUCUCUCUGUCUGAGUGGCAGGCAAGAAGUAACCUCAAUGAUUGCAUUUCUUUGUGUGACCCCAUCUAAAACUUUCUGCAUCAGAUAAACAACUCCCAAGGGUCAAUUAACAUGUCUUGAGAUGAUUAGAGUCUGACACUGAUGAAACCCAGCAGUAAUUAGCAAAUUAAAAAAAAAAAACCUUUUGAUUAGUACUCAGCAUAAUUCCCUCCAAUUAUUCAAAGUUCAUGACUACAGGGGGUGGAAUAUCUCCAGGAAUAUUUAUUUAUAUCCCUAUU
Long non-coding RNA from Manacus vitellinus (golden-collared manakin), 820 nucleotides. RefSeq lists it as uncharacterized. The record is from RefSeq and is a predicted model, not a curated record. The transcript is spliced from 3 exons. NCBI's taxonomy places the organism in Eukaryota, Metazoa, Chordata, Aves, Passeriformes, Pipridae.